AUUAGCUUGUUGGUAGGGUAACGGCCUACCAAGGCGACGAUGCGUAGCCGACCUGAGAGGGUGACCGGCCACACUGGACUGAGACACGGCCCAGACUCCUACGGGAGGCAGCAGUAGGGAAUUUUCGGCAAUGGGGGAAACCCUGACCGAGCAACGCCGCGUGAAGGAAGAAGUAAUUCGUUAUGUAAACUUCUGUCAUAGAGGAAGAACGGUGGAUAUAGGGAAUGAUAUCCAAGUGACGGUACUCUAUAAGAAAGCCACGGCUAACUACGUGCCAGCAGCCGCGGUAAUACGUAGGUGGCGAGCGUUAUCCGGAAUUAUUGGGCGUAAAGAGGGAGCAGGCGGCACUAAGGGUCUGUGGUGAAAGAUCGAAGCUUAACUUCGGUAAGCCAUGGAAACCGUAGAGCUAGAGUGUGUGAGAGGAUCGUGGAAUUCCAUGUGUAGCGGUGAAAUGCGUAGAUAUAUGGAGGAACACCAGUGGCGAAGGCGACGAUCUGGCGCAUAACUGACGCUCAGUCCCGAAAGCGUGGGGAGCAAAUAGGAUUAGAUACCCUAGUAGUCCACGCCGUAAACGAUGAGUACUAAGUGUUGGGGGUCAAACCUCAGUGCUGCAGUUAACGCAAUAAGUACUCCGCCUGAGUAGUACGUUCGCAAGAAUGAAACUCAAAGGAAUUGACGGGGGCCCGCACAAGCGGUGGAGCAUGUGGUUUAAUUCGAAGCAACGCGAAGAACCUUACCAGGUCUUGACAUCGAUCUAAAGGCUCCAGAGAUGGAGAGAUAGCUAUAGAGAAGACAGGUGGUGCAUGGUUGUCGUCAGCUCGUGUCGUGAGAUGUUGGGUUAAGUCCCGCAACGAGCGCAACCCCUGUUGCCAGUUGCCAGCAUUAAGUUGGGGACUCUGGCGAGACUGCCGGUGACAAGCCGGAGGAAGGCGGGGAUGACGUCAAAUCAUCAUGCCCCUUAUGACCUGGGCUACACACGUGCUACAAUGGACAGAGCAGAGGGAAGCGAAGCCGCGAGGUGGAGCGAAACCCAUAAAACUGUUCUCAGUUCGGACUGCAGUCUGCAACUCGACUGCACGAAGAUGGAAUCGCUAGUAAUCGCGAAUCAGCAUGUCGCGGUGAAUACGUUCUCGGGCCUUGUACACACCGCCCGUCACACCAUGAGAGUCGGUAACACCCGAAGCCGGUGGCCUAACCGCAAGGAAGGAGCUGUCUAAGGUGGGACUGAUUAUUGGGGUGAAGUCGAACAAGGUA
RNAcentral lists this ribosomal RNA (1254 nucleotides) under metagenome. Its description in RNAcentral is "bacterial SSU rRNA". It matches the Rfam family "Bacterial small subunit ribosomal RNA", at positions 240 to 1498 of the family's 1533-position model. The record is from RNAcentral.